AUUGAACGCUGGCGGCAUGCCUAACACAUGCAAGUCGAACGGCAGCACAGUGGAGCUUGCUCCAUGGGUGGCGAGUGGCGGACGGGUGAGUAAUGCAUCGGGACCUACCCAGACGUGGGGGAUAACGUAGGGAAACUUACGCUAAUACCGCAUACGUCCUACGGGAGAAAGCGGGGGACCUUCGGGCCUCGCGCGGUUGGACGGACCGAUGUGCGAUUAGCUAGUUGGCGGGGUAAUGGCCCCCCAAGGCGACGAUCGCUAGCUGGUCUGAGAGGAUGAUCAGCCACACUGGAACUGAGACACGGUCCAGACUCCUACGGGAGGCAGCAGUGGGGAAUAUUGGACAAUGGGCGCAAGCCUGAUCCAGCAAUGCCGCGUGUGUGAAGAAGGCCUUCGGGUUGUAAAGCACUUUUAUCGGGAGCGAAAUACCAUGGGUUAAUAACCGGUGGGGCUGACGGUACCCGAGGAAUAAGCACCGGCUAACUUCGUG
This 490-nucleotide ribosomal RNA is filed under the name uncultured bacterium. RNAcentral's name for it is "bacterial SSU rRNA". It matches the Rfam family "Bacterial small subunit ribosomal RNA", at positions 29 to 507 of the family's 1533-position model. The record is from RNAcentral.